This 253-nucleotide ribosomal RNA is filed under the name uncultured bacterium. RNAcentral describes it as "partial 16S ribosomal RNA". It matches the Rfam family "Bacterial small subunit ribosomal RNA", at positions 524 to 776 of the family's 1533-position model. The record is from RNAcentral.
UACAGAGGGGGCAAGCGUUGUUCGGAAUUACUGGGCGUAAAGGGCGCGUAGGCGGCCUGUUAAGUCGAACGUGAAAUCCCCGGGCUCAACCCGGGAACUGCGUCCGAUACUGGCAGGCUAGAGUAUGGGAGAGGGAUGUGGAAUUCCAGGUGUAGCGGUGAAAUGCGUAGAUAUCUGGAGGAACACCGGUGGCGAAGGCGGCAUCCUGGACCAUUACUGACGCUGAUCCGCGAAAGCUAGGGGAGCAAACGGG